This 495-nucleotide ribosomal RNA is filed under the name uncultured bacterium. RNAcentral describes it as "partial 16S ribosomal RNA". It matches the Rfam family "Bacterial small subunit ribosomal RNA", at positions 28 to 507 of the family's 1533-position model. The record is from RNAcentral.
GAUGAACGCUGGCGGCGUGCCUAAUACAUGCAAGUAGAACGCUGAAGGAGGAGCUUGCUCUUCUGGAUGAGUUGCGAACGGGUGAGUAACGCGUAGGUAACCUGCCUGGUAGCGGGGGAUAACUAUUGGAAACGAUAGCUAAUACCGCAUGACAACAGUUAUUGCAUGAUAACUGUUUAAAAGGGGCAACUGCUCCACUACCAGAUGGACCUGCGUUGUAUUAGCUAGUUGGUGAGGUAACGGCUCACCAAGGCGACGAUACAUAGCAGACCUGAGAGGGUGAGCGGCCACACUGGGACUGUGACACGGCCCAGACUCCUGCGGGAAGCAGCAGUAGGGAAUCUUCGGCAAUGGACGGAAGUCUGACCGAGCAACGCCGCGUGAGUGAAGAAGGUUGUCGGGUCGGAAAGCUCUGUUGUAAGGGAAGAACGAGUGUGAGAGUGGAAAGUUCACACUGUGACGGUAUCUUACCAGAAAGGGACGGCUAACUACGUG